Non-coding RNA from Cicer arietinum (chickpea), 1130 nucleotides. The record is from RefSeq and is a predicted model, not a curated record. NCBI's taxonomy places the organism in Eukaryota, Viridiplantae, Streptophyta, Magnoliopsida, Fabales, Fabaceae.
AAAAUUGAAAAAAAUUUGGUUGUAUUUGAUGAAAGGAAGAAAGUGGGGGAGGUGUAAGGUGUUUGUUUGUUUAACGUGAACAUGCAGGAAGGUGUUGUAUUGACCACAGCAAUGCCCUCUUCAUCUUCAUCAUCAUCAUCUUCAUCUUGGAGCCACCAUUGCAACAAUCUCUGUAACUGCAAACACGCUCCUUCCGCCACCUUAGACCUUCUCAUCCUUCUUCUCGUUCUUUUCUCCGGCGCUUUCCUUCUUUCUUCUUAUUUCUCCUACAUCUUCAACUCCCUUUCUCUCCUCCUUCCUUCCAUCUCUCUCCCCAUUCCUUACAUCAUCGCAUUUGUUAUCUUCUUCGCUGUUUCGGUUUUCGCUGUCGAGGUUUGUUGUGGUGCCCGAUCUCGGAAGUGCCAGAGGAGCGGUUGUAGGGGACUCAAGAAUGCUACGGAGUUUGAUUUGCAGAUAGAGAGGUUUGGUUCAGGUUCGGGAUUAGGUUUGGGUGAAUAUGAUAAACUUCCUUGGAAAGGUGGGAGUGAAGGGAAUCCUGAUUAUGAGUGUCUUAGGUCUGAGCUUAGGAAAAUGGCUCCGCCUAAUGGUCGUGCGCUUUUGCUUUUUAGGGCUCCUUGUGGUUGUCCUAUUGCAAAACUUGAAGCUUCUGGUCCCAAGAAAGGAAAGCGUCAUAAGAGAAGUUGAGGUGUCGCACGCGCACACACAUUUGGGGCAUAUCGAGCUGGAGUGUAAUAGAAGUGAUUGGCCAUCCACUAAUUCAAAUUUAUUGAAGACUUGAAGAUAUGCUCGUUGGACUUUAACAUAUCUUCUCUGAAUGGUAACUCUGAACCUCUGAUUUUAAUGCUUUGAGCAGGUCUCUCCCCAAUGCGACUCUUGAUGGAGGAGGAGAUCAUCGUUGAUCAACUGUGCUGGCAUCUCAUUUAUACUUAAACCAUUAUCAUUCUCAUGGUUACCCAUUAAUUGAAAAGUUUCAUUUCAGAACAAUUUUUUAAGAAAGAAAAUAGCAAUGUAGUUUUAACAAUCCUUCCUUGUAUUGUAUCUGCACUGUCCAGGAGUGUCUAUAAACUUUUGAAGGAUCUUACUGAAUUGACUCCAAAUAACAUGUGGUUCAUCGUUAUUCCAUUUCAUAA